Non-coding RNA from Mycena polygramma, 79 nucleotides. The record is from the annotation of a GenBank genome assembly. Lineage: Eukaryota; Fungi; Basidiomycota; Agaricomycetes; Agaricales; Mycenaceae.
AGCCCCCUAGUUCAAUGGUAGAAUGCCCGGGUUGAUUUUCGACCGCGGGAGGUUGUGGGUUCGAUUCCCGCUAGUGCGA